This 348-nucleotide unclassified non-coding RNA is filed under the name rhizosphere metagenome. Its description in RNAcentral is "partial ribosomal RNA internal transcribed spacer region". The record is from RNAcentral.
GUAGGUGAACCUGCGGAAGGAUCAUUAUUGAAUAUUCUUGAUGGGUUGUAGCUGGCUCUUCGGGGCAUGUGCACGCCUGUCUUGAUUCUAUUCAUCCACCUGUGCACCUUUUGUAGUCUUGGGGUUGAAAAGCGGUCAAAUAUCGGACGGUUAUUGUGGCUGUUCCGGAUGUGAGGAUUGCUGAGUUGCUGAGUGCGAAAGCAUACAGCUUUUCUCAAUGUGACUUGUAAACUCUCCCUCGAGCACUAUGUUUUCAUAUACCACAUAGUAUGUUGUAGAAUGUGAUCAAUGGGCCUAUGUGCCUAUAAUAAUCAUAUACAACUUUCAGCAACGGAUCUCUUGGCUCUC